Molecule: ribosomal RNA, 497 nt
Filed under: uncultured bacterium
Lineage: Bacteria
Description: partial 16S ribosomal RNA
Rfam family: Bacterial small subunit ribosomal RNA
Source: RNAcentral
GAUGAACGCUGGCGGCGUGCCUAAUACAUGCAAGUCGAGCGAACAGACGAGGAGCUUGCUCCUCUGACGUUAGCGGCGGACGGGUGAGUAACACGUGGAUAACCUACCUAUAAGACUGGGAUAACUUCGGGAAACCGGAGCUAAUACCGGAUAACAUGUUGAACCGCAUGGUUCAACAGUGAAAGACGGUUUUGCUGUCACUUAUAGAUGGAUCCGCGUCGCAUUAGCUAGUUGGUAAGGUAACGGCUUACCAAGGCAACGAUGCGUAGCCGACCUGAGAGGGUGAUCGGACACACUGGAACUGAGACACGGUCCAGACUCCUACGGGAGGCAGCAGUAGGGAAUCUUCCGCAAUGGGCGAAAGCCUGACGGAGCAACGCCGCGUGAGUGAAGAAGGUCUUCGGAUCGUAAAACUCUGUUAUUAGGGAAGAACAAAUGUGUAAGUAACUAUGCACGUCUUGACGGUACCUAAUCAGAAAGCCACGGCUAACUACGUG